This 760-nucleotide non-coding RNA is filed under the name Kikihia ochrina. Lineage: Eukaryota; Metazoa; Arthropoda; Insecta; Hemiptera; Cicadidae. The record is from RNAcentral.
UUGAAGUUUAAUUCUGGUUUAAGAAUAUUUAAAUUAAAAAUUAUAUUACAUGCAAUUUUUUGAUUGUUUUAAAUUUCUAAAUGGAAAUAUUUUAAUAAAUGCGCAGUAUUUAUUAUUAUUAAUUAAUAAAAUUAGAAUUAGUAAUUUUAUUUAAAAGAAUCUAAUUUCGUGCCAGCAGUUGCGGUUAUACGAUUUCUUUAAUUUAAAUAGUUAAGUUUCAGUUAGUAUAACAAUAAUAUAAUAUAUAUAUAAUUUUGGUGAAAUAUAUUUUAUCUUUAAAAAUUAAUUUUAUGCCUGAAAAAUUUUUGUUUAAACUAGGAUUAGAUACCCUAUUAUUAAAAAUGUGAUAAAAAUAACUUGAUUAUUAUUAGAAAUGAUCUUUAAAUUCAAAGAAUUUGGCGGUAAUUUAUCUUAUCAGAGGAACCUGUUUUAUAAUUGAUAAUCCACGAUAGAUAGAACUUUAAUUUAAUUUGUAUAUCUCUGUCAAGAAUGUUUUAUAAGAAAUAUUUUCAUAAUAUAUUAUUUGUAUUCAAUGUCAGGUCAAGGUGCAGUUUAUAUUAAAGAAAAAAUGGGUUACAAUUAAUUAUGUAUUGAAUUAUUUUUUAAAUUAAAAAAUGUGAAAUUGGAUUUGAUAAUAAAUUAAUUAAAUUUAAUUAGUUGAAAUUGGCUCUAAUUUAUGUACAUAUCGCCCGUCACUCUCAUAAUAUUAAUGGGAUAAGUCGUAACAAAGUAACUGUACCGGAAGGUGUAGUUAGAAAGA